UUGACCUCGGAUCAGGUAGGGAUACCCGCUGAACUUAAGCAUAUCAAUAAGCGGAGGAAAAGAAACCAACAGGGAUUACCUCAGUAACGGCGAGUGAAGCGGUAACAGCUCAAAUUUGAAAUCUGGCCCUUUUAGGGUCCGAGUUGUAAUUUGUAGAAGAUGCUUUGGGUGUGGCUCCGGUCUAAGUUCCUUGGAACAGGACGUCAUAGAGGGUGAGAAUCCCGUAUGUGACUGGCGGCCUUCGCCCGUGUAAAGCUCUUUCGACGAGUCGAGUUGUUUGGGAAUGCAGCUCUAAAUGGGAGGUAUAUUUCUUCUAAAGCUAAAUACUGGCCAGAGACCGAUAGCGCACAAGUAGAGUGAUCGAAAGAUGAAAAGCACUUUGGAAAGAGAGUUAAACAGUACGUGAAAUUGUUGAAAGGGAAGCGCUUGCAACCAGACUUGCAUGCCGUCGAUCAUCGUGGGUUCUCCCGCGUGCACUCGGCGGCGUUCAGGCCAGCAUCGGUUCCGGUGGUUGGAUAAAGGCCUUGGGAAUGUGGCUCCUCUCGGGGAGUGUUAUAGCCCUCGGUGCAAUGCAGCCUACUGG
This 583-nucleotide ribosomal RNA is filed under the name Dicephalospora rufocornea. RNAcentral describes it as "eukaryotic LSU rRNA". It matches the Rfam family "Eukaryotic large subunit ribosomal RNA", at positions 1 to 586 of the family's 3401-position model. The record is from RNAcentral. Lineage: Eukaryota; Fungi; Ascomycota; Leotiomycetes; Helotiales; Helotiaceae.